This 598-nucleotide long non-coding RNA is filed under the name Chlamydomonas reinhardtii. RNAcentral describes it as "long non-coding RNA (CREI_LNC000870)". Lineage: Eukaryota; Viridiplantae; Chlorophyta; Chlorophyceae; Chlamydomonadales; Chlamydomonadaceae. The record is from RNAcentral.
GACCCCGUCGCGCAGCGCCCUGCCCUCCAACUGGAAGCAGGAGCUGGAGAGCCUGCGCAGCAGCUCCCCCGCCCCCGCCUCGUCGGCCCCCGCCCCGGCCCGCUCCUCGUCGGCCAGCUGGCGUGAUGCCGCCCCGGCCUCGUCGGCCCCCGCCCGCUCCAGCUCCUCCAAGAAGGCUGUGACCCCGUCGCGCAGCGCCCUGCCCUCCAACUGGAAGCAGGAGCUGGAGAGCCUGCGCAGCAGCUCCCCCGCCCCCGCCUCGUCGGCCCCUGCCCCGGCCCGCUCCUCGUCGGCCAGCUGGCGUGACGCCGCCCCGGCCUCGUCGGCCCCUGCCCGCUCCAGCUCUGCCUCCAAGAAGGCCGUGACCCCGUCGCGCAGCGCCCUGCCCUCCAACUGGAAGCAGGAGCUGGAGAGCCUGCGCAGCAACUCCCCUGCCCCCGCCUCGUCGGCCCCUGCCCCGGCCCGCUCCUCGUCGGCCAGCUGGCGUGACGCCCCCGCCUCGAGCUCCAGCUCGAGCGCCGACAAGGCCGGCACCAACCCCUGGACUGGCAAGUCCAAGCCCGAGAUCAAGCGCACCGCCCUGCCCGCUGACUGGCGC